RNAcentral lists this ribosomal RNA (430 nucleotides) under uncultured bacterium. Its description in RNAcentral is "partial 16S ribosomal RNA". It matches the Rfam family "Bacterial small subunit ribosomal RNA", at positions 29 to 507 of the family's 1533-position model. The record is from RNAcentral.
AACGAACGCUGGCGGCAGGCCUAACACAUGCAAGUCGAACGCCCCGCAAGGGGAGUGGCAGACGGGUGAGUAACACGUGGGAACCUUCCCUAUAGUACGGAAUAGCCCAGGGAAACUUGGAGUAAUACCGUAUACGCCCGAAAGGGGAAAGAAUUUCGCUAUAGGAUGGGCCCGCGUAGGAUUAGCUAGUUGGUGAGGUAAUGGCUCACCAAGGCGACGAUCCUUAGCUGGUUUGAGAGAACGACCAGCCACACUGGGACUGAGACACGGCCCAGACUCCUACGGGAGGCAGCAGUGGGGAAUAUUGGACAAUGGGCGCAAGCCUGAUCCAGCCAUGCCGCGUGAAUGAUGAAGGCCUUAGGGUUGUAAAGCUCUUUUGGCGGGGACGAUAAUGACGGUACCCGCAGAAUAAGUCCCGGCUAACUUCGUG